RNAcentral lists this ribosomal RNA (433 nucleotides) under uncultured bacterium. RNAcentral describes it as "partial 16S ribosomal RNA". It matches the Rfam family "Bacterial small subunit ribosomal RNA", at positions 29 to 507 of the family's 1533-position model. The record is from RNAcentral.
AACGAACGCUGGCGGCAUGCCUAACACAUGCAAGUCGAACGAAGCCUUCGGGCUUAGUGGCGCACGGGUGCGUAACGCGUCGGAAUCUUCCCCUAUCUUCGGGAUAACAGUUAUAAAUGACUGCUAAUACCGGAUGAAUUCUUCGGACAAAACAUUCAUCGUCAAGGUAUGAGCCCGCGUAGGAUUAGGUAGUCGGUGUGGUAAAGGCCUACCAAGCCGACGAUCCUUAGCUGGUCUGAGAGGAUGGUCAGCCACACUGGGACUGAGACGCGGCCCAGACUCCUACGGGAGGCAGCAGUGGGGAAUAUUGGACAAUGGAGGCGAGUCUGAACCAGCAAGGCCGCGUGAGUGAUGAAGUCCUGAGAGUUGUAAAGCUCUUUUACAAGGGAUGAUAAUGACAGUACCUGGAGAAUAAGCUCCGGCUAACUCCGUG